GACGAACGCUGGCGGCGUGCUUAACACAUGCAAGUCGAACGGAAAGGCCCUGCUUUUGUGGGGUGCUCGAGUGGCGAACGGGUGAGUAACACGUGAGUAACCUGCCCUUGACUUUGGGAUAACUUCAGGAAACUGGGGCUAAUACCGGAUAGGAGCUCCUGCUGCAUGGUGGGGGUUGGAAAGUUUCGGCGGUUUGGGAUGGACUCGCGGCUUAUCAGCUUGUUGGUGGGGUAGUGGCUUACCAAGGCUUUGACGGGUAGCCGGCCUGAGAGGGUGACCGGCCACAUUGGGACUGAGAUACGGCCCAGAGUCCUAUGGGAGGCAGCAGUGGGGAAUAUUGCACAAUGGGGGGAAGCCGGAUGAAGCAACGCCGCGUGCGGGAUGACGGCCUUCGGGUUGUAAACAGCUUUAGCCUGUGACGAAGCGUGAGUGACGGUAAUGGGUAAAGAAGCACCGGCUAACUCCGUG
Molecule: ribosomal RNA, 468 nt
Filed under: uncultured bacterium
Lineage: Bacteria
Description: partial 16S ribosomal RNA
Rfam family: Bacterial small subunit ribosomal RNA
Source: RNAcentral